RNAcentral lists this ribosomal RNA (450 nucleotides) under uncultured bacterium. Its description in RNAcentral is "partial 16S ribosomal RNA". It matches the Rfam family "Bacterial small subunit ribosomal RNA", at positions 329 to 793 of the family's 1533-position model. The record is from RNAcentral.
CUCCAGACUCCUACGGGAGGCAGCAGUGGGGAAUAUUGCACAAUGGGGGGAACCCUGAUGCAGCAAUGCCGCGUGAAGGAUGAAGGUUUUCGGAUUGUAAACUUCUUUUGUACGGGACGAAGAAAGUGACGGUACCGUAAGAAUAAGCCACGGCUAACUACGUGCCAGCAGCCGCGGUAAUACGUAGGGGGCAAGCGUUAUCCGGAUUUACUGGGUGUAAAGGGGGCGCAGACGGCGAUGCAAGCCAGGAGUGAAAGCCCGGGGCCCAACCCCGGGACUGCUCUUGGAACUGCGUGGCUGGAGUGCAGGAGGGGCAGGCGGAAUUCCUGGUGUAGCGGUGAAAUGCGUAGAUAUCAGGAGGAACACCAGUGGCGAAGGCGGCUUACUGGACGGCAACUGACGCUGAGGCUCGAAAGCGUGGGGAGCAAACAGGAUUAGAUACCCCUGUAC